Vitis riparia (riverbank grape) is the source of this 2907-nucleotide RNA transcript. RefSeq lists it as uncharacterized. The transcript has 12 exons. Lineage: Eukaryota; Viridiplantae; Streptophyta; Magnoliopsida; Vitales; Vitaceae. The record is from RefSeq and is a predicted model, not a curated record.
GGGAGUUUCAUAUAUAUCGAAACGACAUCCCGAAAUCGAAAAAAGAACAGGGAAAUUCCAAAAGAGGAGUCGGAGGCAAAUCGCGAUCCAGGAUUGAUCUCAGAAACCCUAGAUUCAAACCGUCUGAUAACAAAUCCAUUUUCUGGGGUUUCUUGAGCAUCAACUGACAUUCAUGCCCACGAAAAUUGAGUUUUUUUUUUCUCUUCAUUUAACAUCAACGUGAAGGAACACUGAGAGAGGAGCGGAUCGAUCAAUGGUGAUUGUAUCUGUGUGGUUGUUGCAGUGGAGUUGAUUGAGGGAGUGUGGGAAUUGAGAUGAGAGGUGAGUGUUUGUGGGGACAAUGAAUGGAGGGUCAUUGGGUAUGCGUUCAGGGAGUUAUGGCUCAUUGCUGCAGCAGCAACAACAGCAACAACAACUUCAGAACGGUGGUUUGUUGCCCGUUCAAGCGACGCCGCUUCCUCCUCCUCUUCCGGGCUAUUCCCUUGGCCGCAAGCCGCCCAAGAUGGUCAAAGAGAAGGAGAGGUUUGUUCAUUGGAUCUGUAAGUUUGCCGGCCGCAAGAAGGUUGGAAUGCUGCUGCUUUGCGUAGUCUCUGCCGCGGUUUUCGUUUGGGUUUUGUACGUUGGCAAAGGUGAAGAUGCACGAGAAGUUGAUAGUGUGGGAAAACUUGGAGCCAAUGGCAGCCCGGCUUUCGUUUAUACUAAAUCUUUUAGUACACGCUCUCUUGAUUUAUACAGAAUGAACAAUAGUUCUUUUGUGAGAAGUGAAAGUGUAGCGCAGCCUCCUCCUCCUCCUCCUCCUCCUCCUCCUGCCCCAGUGUUUUUGGGGUAUAACCUUCCUCCAGGGCAUCCAUGUGAAAAUUUUGCAUUGCCGCCCCCACCAGCCGAUAAAAAACGAACUGGACCACGGCCAUGUCCAGUAUGUUACCUUCCUGUGGAAGAAGCCAUCGCCUUAAUGCCAAAAUACCCAUCACCUUCUCCCUUACUUAAUAAUUUAACAUUUGUCUAUGAGGAAAAUUUAACCAAAGGUGAUUCAUUUGGCGGCUCUGACUUUGGUGGAUAUCCUUCUCUGGAGCAGCGGGCUAAUUCUUAUGAUAUAAGAGAAUCAAUGACUGUGCACUGCGGAUUUGUCAGAGGAGCUAAACCUGGUCAGCGGACAGGAUUCGACAUGGAUGAUUCUGACCUUUUUGAGAUGGAGCAAUGUCAUGGUGUGGUUGUUGCAUCUGCAAUAUUUGGAAACUAUGAUGUGAUACAACAGCCAAAGAAUAUUAGUGAUGCUGCAAAAGAGAAUGUCUGCUUCUAUAUGUUUGUGGAUGAAGAAACCGAAGCUCAUUUAAAGAAUUCUUCUGGUUUGGAUGACAACAAGAGGGUUGGAUUGUGGAGAAUUGUUGUUGUUCACAACCUCCCUUACAAUGAUGCAAGACGCAAUGGAAAGGUUCCAAAGCUUCUACUGCAUAGGAUGUUCCCUAAUGCUCGCUAUUCUCUGUGGAUUGAUGGAAAGCUUGAGCUUGUGGUGGAUCCAUUUCAAAUUCUUGAAAGGUUCCUGUGGAGGAAAAAUGCCAGUUUUGCAAUCUCUAGACAUUAUAGACGUUUUGAUGUGUUUGUAGAAGCUGAGGCAAAUAAAGCUGCUGCGAAGUAUGAUAAUGCAUCGAUAGAUUUUCAGGUUGAGUUUUAUAAAAGUGAGGGUUUAACACCAUAUUCUGAGGCUAAGCUUCCCAUUACAAGUGAUGUGCCUGAAGGGUGCGUGAUUGUAAGGGAACACAUUCCUAUUAGCAACCUAUUUACUUGCCUUUGGUUCAACGAAGUUGACCGUUUUACUUCCAGGGAUCAAAUAAGUUUUUCCACCGUAAGAGAUAAGAUUAGAGCAAAGACAAAUUGGACCGUCAAUAUGUUUUUGGACUGUGAAAGGCGCAACUUUGUAGUUCAGGGGUACCAUAGAGAUGUACUAGAGCACAUGGCUUCUUCAGUGGCUCUGCCUCCCCCUCUUGUGCUGGCUGUUGAGCCCCCACCAUUGGUUAAUAAACUGCCUGUGCCACGCCCACCGCCACCGCCUCCUGAGAUCUCAACUGUGAGGGUUGUAAGUAAUCCAGUCACAAGGGUCCCAGCAAAGCGCAACAGAGAAAGGAGAUCCAGUUCAAAGCGUCACCGGAAAGUUGUGGCCGGUGCUAAGGGCAUUGAUUCGAGUUAAAAUUUUGUUAAGUUCAAUGGAUCAGUGGAGUGCGGUAGUAUUGCUGAUGGCAGUGAAGAGUUGGAAGUAGAGUGAAAUGGUUGAGGUGGCCAAGUAACAGCAGCAAUGGUGACAAUGCAUUAGUAGCAGUGGUGGGACAGGAAAUGAUGUAGGUAUAAAAUCCAGACUCAGUGGAUCAAAAGAAGGGGACACCAGGAAUUGUAUGGCAGGAUCAUGGAUCUCUCUCCAGCAGUAGAUAUCUCCUACAACCUACCAACUCAAAGGAGUGUUCAACUAAAAGAAUUUGCAGUGGUGAGUAAGUUGAUGAACACCCGCAUCAUUUGAGCAGACAUGAGCUUUGCCAAGUUGCCAAAGCCAACUGGUGGUAGCAUCGACAGAAGGGGUGAGAACCUGCUUCAGCGGGCAAUUUGGGUCCGUUGGUGGAAGGCUGAGCUCAAUUGCAAUGGGCUUAAGAGUUCCUACUGUGGUCAGGAAGAAGAGCGUGCGUGUUCCAUAGGCUUUCCGGUCAUCAAGGGCAUUUAUCCGAUUGAGAAAUGGAAGAUAAAUGUCGUGAUAGUCCAGUAUGAACAACUUGUUUUCAUUGAGUGCCUGAAAAAAAAAAAGGAUACCAAGAAAGUUAAACUAUACUAUGUGUACUAAAAAAAUGAUAAUUUUGUGAUACAAGAAAUUAAUUUCCCUUGGGAAAAUUAUGAAGUUUGACCUAUUAUUGUUUGUGUUGGUAA